This 2714-nucleotide long non-coding RNA is filed under the name Homo sapiens (human). Its description in RNAcentral is "PTPRG antisense RNA 1". The record is from RNAcentral. Lineage: Eukaryota; Metazoa; Chordata; Mammalia; Primates; Hominidae.
AAAAGCGACUGGGUGUUGGGGAGCAGCUUUUGGGAGCGUCCUUGAGCAAAGCGCCACGCCCCGCGAGGGUGCACCCACCACUAGAAUUUGAACAUCCUAAGAACAGGUAUUUUUGUCUCUGCUUUGCUGAUGUAUCCUCAGCAACCGGAACUGCCUGACAUCUGAUCCUUUCUGUGAGACACCAGGCUGUUGAGGAAGAAUCUAUGGCAACAUUGUAUCUAUUAAUAUACAGCUUCUGUAUUUAUCAGGCCCAGUUCUGGUGAUGAUUUCACUUUUGACAGAAGCUGUCCCUCAAAAGCAAACAUGCAAUAGAAGAAACAGAUCUCAAUGCCAUCCAUCUGCAGUUGUGACAAGCAAAAAAGUCUCCAGACAUGGCCAAAUGUCCCCUGGGGGGCAAAAUCACCCCCAAUUGAGAACUACUGCUCUAAACUAUGGAGUCUCACUCUGUCACCCAGGAUGGAGUACAGUGGCGUGAUCUCGGCUCACUGCAAGCUCCGCCUCCUGGGUUCAUGCCAUUCUCCUGCCUUAGCCUCCCGAGUAGCUGGGACUACAGGCGCCUGCCACCACGCCCGGCUAAUUUUUGUAUUUUUAGUAGAGACAGGGUUUCACCGCAUUAGCCAGGAUGGUCUCGAUCUCCUGACCUCGUGAUCCGCCCGCCUCAGCCUCCCAAAGUGCUGGGAUUACAGGCGUGAGUCACUGUGCCCAGCCAAGUUUAGUAUUUUUUGUAGAGACAGAGUUUCACCAUGUUGGCCAGGCUGGUCUUGCACUCAUGGCCUCAAGUGAUCCACCUGCCUCGGCCUCCGAAAGUGCUGGGAUUACAGGCGUAAGCCACUGUGCCUGGCCUUAAAUGGGUAAAUUUCAUAUGGUAUAUGAAUUAUAUUUCACUAAAACUUUAAGAAAACAUUAUACAGUACUGUUCAAAUUUUAAGUGGUCCAAUUUAAAUGCACUAUUGUAUACAAUUCUAUGUAAUGUCCUUACCAUGGUAUAUGUUAACUAUAAAUAUCUAUGCCCCUACCCUUAGUAUCAAAGCAUAUAUUAUAUGCCAGUGAGCCAAGCCCCACAUGUCUGUGAAAUGUGGUCUUCUAGCCAUAGAAGUAGCUUGUGCUCCUAGGGUAUUCCUUGAGGCUCUGUAUGAAGAAUGUCCAUUUGUUUGAGUCCCUAACCUACAGAAUAUUCCUGACCAUGGAAAUGUGAUAGAUAGGAGUAAGCACAUGGACCAAAAGGCCUGGAGGCUCAUCAUUUAAGGUACAAGCCAAUUAUGUAGUCUUUGAAAGAAUGCUUUGAAAUUCAGCUUGCUUGAUUCAAUUCCCAAUAUUUUCAUUUGUAUUAAAAGAUUUGGCCCUUACAGGUUAAAAACAAUGUCAGUGUAACCAAGUGACAUUCAAAUUUUGGCUCCCAACAUGUGAUAUGACAUCACUUCAUGUGAAAAUAGCGAAGCUCCAAACAUUUUCUUUCAGUCACCUUAUUAAGCUCGCUGAGCCCUGACAGCCUAAUGAAAGGCUAAGGGGGAAGAAAAUGUCCCAACUUCUACACUGUUGAAGAUGGGCUAAUGAGAGGUUAGCUUGCAAGAAUCAUUCUUUCUUGGCAUCCUGCUUCUGACUGCUUGGCUUUCAGCUUAUACCCAGCAUGAAAAUUUAAUUUCCUCGCAGUUGAAGGUAGUUUAAAGCUUAUUACUCACAUGCUAAAAUGUUGAUGUAUCUGUUUUUGUGCUUGUUUUCUGGAUGAUUGGAAUGCUCUGCAGUGAUGUUCAUAUCAGCAGUACAGCGCUGGACUUCCUAGUGAAGAAAACAGCAAGAUUAUAGACACAGUUUAGAAACAAAGGAACACCAUAUACAUUUAAAGGCAUAAAGUAUUUACUCACUCCCUGGCCACAGCCACCGUUACCUUCUCAAUCCCAACUUCGGAUAUAAUUAUUGAUAUAUUUAUAACGAGUUUAUGAAGAAUGUGAAAAAGGUAUAAAGAUUUCAUUAUUUACUAUUUCAUCAAUCAUCUACUUUUUUCUAGUUUUUGACCUAGUCCCUGAGAUGUAAAACAAUAUCUCUUUUUGAAUACAUCAUAGUCUAUGGGUGAGAAAAAUAUUCAAAAAGAUAGUCAAACAUGAUGAAUACAAAAGAGGCCUGAGAAAGCUCUGAUGGGAGCACAGAACAGAGGAAGGCUUUAGACAGGUGAAAAAAUUUACCUAAGUCUUAAAGGAAGAAAGGGAAUUUCUAAGAAGUAUAAUCUCUACCAUGAUUUGCAAUAUGCUUACAGGCCUUAUAGCCUCAUUUUAUAAUUGUGAGGGUGCAUUGACUCUAAAGACUCAGUGCUGAAAUAACCCUAAUAACAGCCCAACUAAUGGUCAUAUCUCAUAUAUACAGUCUUGACAAAUUAUUUGUGAACUCUAGUAUUUUAAAAGUUAUCCUUCUUUGGAAAAAUAGCAGUAGCAGAAAUAACACUCUUAUCCUACCUUGGCCGUGGAUUUAAACGUCAUCCAUUAGCCUAAUACAACGUUGCUGAAAAGCCAAAUUUUUCUACACUAUAUGCUUCAAACCCAAGAAAGUACUGGAGCUGACUAAUAAGGGAAGUCAUUAGCAGUACACAGCUGCUACAAAGAGCCUGAACAAAGUAACACAAAAUUAUCAGGAGAAAUGUUUUACACAGAACAGAUGUAGCAGAGUUUAGAAGCAUGCAGACUUUUUUUUUCCACAAAGGAGUUGCCUAGUAAUUAUGCAUG